UGAUAUAGACGGUGUUUGAAACAAGAAUUAGAAUCGAUAUUUCUUCGAAAACGGACGCUAUGGAUAACUAUAACUCGAAUCACCCAUGUAAACAAAGGAGGAUCUUUCGUUUUUUCCCCUAUUUUUUCGUUGUUUUGGAUUAAAAAGUGGGAUGCAUUUUGAAGAGUGGACCCUUCCCUUGAAAUGUUACGCUGGUGUUUCUUGGAUUAGUCCGAGCUGGCCAGAGCUAUAGGCCAUGAAACAUUCAUUUCUAUCGGUGUGAACUGACCACCACACAGAAUAUGAAGAAUAUGAAAAACUUUAGGAGUCAGCUGUCUACGGCAGUCCUUAAGGUACCAGCACAAUAACACAUCAGCAAAAUAUCGUCUGAUUAUCAUCAUCGAUAAAAUCCCUGAAAAUAUUGAGAUAUUAUUUUUUGUCAAUAUCGCACACCCCUACUUCAGAUGCCGCUUAUGUGUUUCCUCUGCUUUGUAAAGAUGUAUUUUGUUGAUACUGAUUUCAUUUGCUUGGUAACAGCCCAAAUGUCUUAUUCUAACUGACUUCUAAAAUGUAAGAAUUUGACUCAAAUGAUGAUGCACAUUUUUAGAAGGUAAAUAUGCUCAUAAAAGGUAAAACUCAAUUUAAACGUAUUGGAAAAGAUUAAUUUCUAUGACUGCUGUGAACUGACCACCACACAGAAUAUGCAGAAUAUCAAAACUUUAGGAGUCCACGGCAGUCCUUAAAAUGUCAACACAAAAACACACUCAGCAAAAUAUCGUCAGUCUAAUUAUUGUUAUCGAUAAAAUCACAGAAAAUAUUGAGAUAUCAUUUUUGUCAUUAUCACACACCUCUAUCUCUCGGUUACCUAAAGUUACUAUUUAUUGAACUAAUUUAUUUUUAUUUCACAUUAUGAUUAUUAUAUUAAAUGUAUGAGACGUUUCUGCUGUAACAAUUUUUUCCCCUCAGUGUAACCCACCAUUGCUAGGUCUGAGCUUACGAGGCACCAUUUAUUAAAAAAGGAACCACUAUGAAUUUCACAAGCCAUUGGAGAACCACACAACUGCAAUGAAAACUGGAAUAGCAAGAGCCCUGUCAAGUGUGCUAAAUGUCUCCGUUGUCCUGGAAGAGGAAGUGGUGCUUCACAACUUAGGAGACUUUGUAAAUGUGUUUAUUGUACUCUUUGGAUUAUUGUGUGCACUCAACAUGGAGUACAACAAGGAUUUACAGUAAAAGGUUAGUUCACCAAAAAUGGAAAUUGUCAUUAAUUACUCACCCUCAUGUCGUGCCCAAACCCGUAAGACCUUCAGUCAUCUUCAGAACACGUAUUAAGAGGCUCUCUGACUCUUCAUAGGAAGCUAUGCAACUUACACAUUCAUGUUCCAGAAGAGUAGGAAAGACAUCAUUAAAGUAUUCAGUGAGUCCAGUGGUUUAACCUAAAUUUUAUGAAGCAACUCAAGAGUUUUGUUUGCAGAAAAAAAAACAAUUUACUACUUUAUUUACAAAAUAAUAUCCAAAGUGUGGUGGUGCUUCCUCUAUUGGGUUGCAGAGCAAUGUUUUAGUAAAUAAGGUGGUUAUUUAUUUAUUUUUGCGCAAACAAAGCACUCGCGUUGGUUCCUAAAAUUGAGGUUUAAACCACUGGAGUCACGUUGAUUACUCUACUGUCUUUCCUGCUGUUCUGGACCUUGAUUUUCUGAAUUGAAGUUUUACUAACCCUAAAAAGUUCAAAAUACCUCUUAUGAGAUUUAUUUAUUUUAUUUAAUUUUUUGGCAAACAUUUGAAGUGUAAGUUUCAUGAGCUCAGAGUACAUUUUGUGAGAAUGGUAAUAUUCAGGUGACAUUACACUAAACACUGUAACCUCAGAUAAAUGAUUACAUUUUAUGGUGUUUUUGAUACUUUUGCAUGUUUGUGAAUGUAUUAAUGUUUAAAGUGCAAUUCAUCAGCUUUGUGUGUCUUAUGAGAAUUAA
Molecule: long non-coding RNA, 1943 nt
Organism: Onychostoma macrolepis
Lineage: Eukaryota; Metazoa; Chordata; Actinopteri; Cypriniformes; Cyprinidae
Exons: 3
Source: RefSeq, a predicted model, not a curated record